CCUACAGAGAGACAAUGGAAGGCGAUUCACGAGGGAACGGCAAGAAGAUCAACCGGCCGAAACUCCCCGACGAACUCGUAUUCGACAUCCUCUCCAGACUCCCCGUCCAAUCCAUACUCCGAUACAAAUGCGUCUGCAAGUCAUGGCUAUCCAUGAUCUCCGACCCUCAAUUCAUCAAAACCCACUUCCUUCGAUCCACCCAAUCUCCCGAUUUCCCAAGGCUUCUACUCGCAACCAACGGCUCCUUCCUUUCAUUCGAUUUCGAAAGCCCCGAUCACGAAUUCAAAUCCCUCCAACGCCCGAGGAACUACUCGGAUUCCUGUUUACGGCCCGUGUGCUCUUGCGAUGGUUUAAUACUACUGUGGGCUCAUGACCGCUUGUCCUUCGGAACCUCUUGCAAGUCCUUUGUUCUUUGGAACCCAUCAAUCGCAUGGUACAAGAGAAUAAAAUGCCCUUACGAGCUUCCUUUUCGCGGGAUUUACGGACAUUCUUACGAUUCCACUGCUGAUGAUUAUAGGGUGCUUGUUGCUUCGCAGCAAGGAAAUGAAAUCUCUGUGGUGAUUUACAGUUUCAGAAACGAUUCUUGGAACAUCUUUAACGACAAUCGUUAUGGUAUCCUUUCGUUGGAAAAUCAGGUCGUUGUGAAUGGAGUUGUUCACUUCGUGAUUUAUGAGAGAGAGUUGAGAGAGUUGCGCUCAUGUGCCAUUGUUUAUUUUGAUUUCGUUGAGGGACAGUUCAAGGAGGUGCCGCUGCCAAGCUUUUGGAGCAAAGAUGAUAAUAUGAAUUUGGUGGCAUUGGGGGGAUUCCUUUGCGUGUAUUGCGAUAUCGGUGUAGAGCUGCUCAAGAUAUUUGCAAUGAAAGAGUAUGGGAAGAAAGAAUCAUGGACUAGAUUGUUUGUCAUGCCUUGGGCAAUAGAACAAUGGGUUCCUUUUCCUACCUAUGUGAAGCCUUUGUUUCUUACGAGGAAAGGUCAAGUUGUGAUAUCGGUUGGGCACACGGGGAUAGGCCUUUACGAUCCUAAAGCUCGUACAUUUUUGUGGUGUGACCGUGAUUGUGGUGAGAUGGCGAUUCCAUAUGUGGAGACUCUACUUUCACUUAAUGGUGGGGUGUGAAGUUUGGAGGCAAAACCAUGCAUAUUCAAAGUAAGCAAACGUGAAGAGCCGGUUGUCUUCUCGACAUUGGCAUGAUUUAAUCCCUUAGGGAAGUUUGAGAAUCAAGUUUAUAGUGUCGCAUAUAACUCUACGUGGUGAGAUGCAGAGUUAGCUACAACCAAUUCUUCUUGAAGUUCUACCGUACCUAAGAUACUUUUGUAUAUUGAAGGAAGAUACUUGGGAGUUAUGGUCUAUGUUAUGCCAAGGACCUAGAGCAUAUUGAAGCUUGGUUUUUGCUUUCAA
RNA transcript from Rhododendron vialii, 1394 nucleotides. It is a transcript of the gene named F-box/kelch-repeat protein At3g23880-like, with no coding region annotated. The record is from RefSeq and is a predicted model, not a curated record. NCBI's taxonomy places the organism in Eukaryota, Viridiplantae, Streptophyta, Magnoliopsida, Ericales, Ericaceae. The transcript has 2 exons.